RNAcentral lists this ribosomal RNA (711 nucleotides) under Pantoea ananatis. RNAcentral's name for it is "bacterial LSU rRNA". It matches the Rfam family "Bacterial large subunit ribosomal RNA", at positions 2240 to 2925 of the family's 2925-position model. The record is from RNAcentral. Lineage: Bacteria; Pseudomonadati; Pseudomonadota; Gammaproteobacteria; Enterobacterales; Erwiniaceae.
CCGGGCUGCGGACAGUGUCUGGUGGGUAGUUUGACUGGGGCGGUCUCCUCCCAAAGCGUAACGGAGGAGCACGAAGGUUGGCUAAUCCUGGUCGGACAUCAGGAGGUUAGUGCAAUGGCAUAAGCCAGCUUGACUGCGAGAGUGACGGCUCGAGCAGGUGCGAAAGCAGGUCAUAGUGAUCCGGUGGUUCUGAAUGGAAGGGCCAUCGCUCAACGGAUAAAAGGUACUCCGGGGAUAACAGGCUGAUACCGCCCAAGAGUUCAUAUCGACGGCGGUGUUUGGCACCUCGAUGUCGGCUCAUCACAUCCUGGGGCUGAAGUAGGUCCCAAGGGUACGGCUGUUCGCCGUUUAAAGUGGUACGCGAGCUGGGUUUAGAACGUCGUGAGACAGUUCGGUCCCUAUCUGCCGUGGGCGCUGGAGAAUUGAGGGGGGUUGCUCCUAGUACGAGAGGACCGGAGUGAACGCACCGCUGGUGUCCGGGUUGUCACGCCAGUGGCACUGCCCGGUAGCUAAGUGCGGAAAAGAUAAGUGCUGAAAGCAUCUAAGCACGAAACUUGCCCCGAGAUGAGUUCUCCCUGAGCCUUUAAGGCUCCUGAAGGGACGUUGAAGACGACGACGUUGAUAGGCCGGGUGUGUAAGCGCAGCGAUGCGUUGAGCUUACCGGUACUAAUGACCCGUGAGGCUUAACCUUACAACGCCAGAGGCGUUUUG